CCUACGGGAGGCAGCAGUAGGGAAUCUUCCACAAUGGACGAAAGUCUGAUGGAGCAACGCCGCGUGAGUGAAGAAGGUUUUCGGCUCGUAAAGCUCUGUUGGUAGUGAAGAAAGAUAGGGUUAGUAACUGGCCUUUAUUUGACGGUACUUACUUAGAAAGUCCCGGCUAACUACGUGCCAGCAUCCGCGGUAAUACGUAGGUGGCAAGCGUUGUCCGGAUUUAUUGGGCGGAAAGCGAGUGCAGGCGGGUUAAUAAGUCUGAUGUGAAAGCCUACGGCUCAACCGGAGAAUUGCAUCAGAAACUGUUGAACUUGAGUGCGGAAGAGGAGAGUGGAACUCCAGGUGUAGGGGUGGAAUGCGUAGAGAUAUGGAAGAAUACCAGUGGCGAAGGCGGCUCGCUGGGAUGCAACUGACGCUGAGGCUCGAAAGCAUGGGUAGCGAACAGGAUUAGAUACCCCAGUAGUC
Molecule: ribosomal RNA, 465 nt
Filed under: uncultured bacterium
Lineage: Bacteria
Description: partial 16S ribosomal RNA
Rfam family: Bacterial small subunit ribosomal RNA
Source: RNAcentral